UACGUAGGUGGCUAGCGUUGUCCGGAUUUACUGGGCGUAAAGAGCGCGCAGGCGGUCGUUCAAGUCGAGUGUGAAAGCCCCCGGCUCAACUGGGGAGGGUCACUCGAUACUGAUCGACUCGAAGGCAGAAGAGGGAAGCGGAAUUCCCGGUGUAGUGGUGAAAUGCGUAGAUAUCGGGAGGAACACCAGUGGCGAAGGCGGCUUUCUGGUCUGCUCUUGACGCUGAGGCGCGAAAGCUAGGGGAGCGAACGGG
Molecule: ribosomal RNA, 253 nt
Filed under: uncultured bacterium
Lineage: Bacteria
Description: partial 16S ribosomal RNA
Rfam family: Bacterial small subunit ribosomal RNA
Source: RNAcentral